GACAGAGGGUGCAAGCGUUGUUCGGAAUUACUGGGCGUAAAGCGCGUGUAGGCGGCUCGGCAAGUCGGGUGUGAAAGCCCUGGGCUCAACCUAGGAAGUGCACUCGAAACUUCCGAGCUGGAGUGCUGGAGAGGAAGGCGGAAUUCUCGGUGUAGAGGUGAAAUGCGUAGAUAUCGAGAGGAACACCGGUGGCGAAGGCGGCCUUCUGGACAGUAACUGACGCUGAGACGCGAAAGCGUGGGGAGCAAACAGG
RNAcentral lists this ribosomal RNA (253 nucleotides) under uncultured bacterium. RNAcentral describes it as "partial 16S ribosomal RNA". It matches the Rfam family "Bacterial small subunit ribosomal RNA", at positions 524 to 776 of the family's 1533-position model. The record is from RNAcentral.